RNAcentral lists this ribosomal RNA (482 nucleotides) under Fusarium solani. RNAcentral's name for it is "eukaryotic LSU rRNA". It matches the Rfam family "Eukaryotic large subunit ribosomal RNA", at positions 66 to 559 of the family's 3401-position model. The record is from RNAcentral. RNAcentral also lists the same sequence under 3 other names. Lineage: Eukaryota; Fungi; Ascomycota; Sordariomycetes; Hypocreales; Nectriaceae.
CAACAGGGAUUGCCCCAGUAACGGCGAGUGAAGCGGCAACAGCUCAAAUUUGAAAUCUGGCUCUCGGGCCCGAGUUGUAAUUUGUAGAGGAUGCUUUUGGUGAGGUGCCUUCCGAGUUCCCUGGAACGGGACGCCAUAGAGGGUGAGAGCCCCGUCUGGUUGGACGCCGAACCUCUGUAAAGCUCCUUCGACGAGUCGAGUAGUUUGGGAAUGCUGCUCUAAAUGGGAGGUAUAUGUCUUCUAAAGCUAAAUACCGGCCAGAGACCGAUAGCGCACAAGUAGAGUGAUCGAAAGAUGAAAAGAACUUUGAAAAGAGAGUUAAACAGUACGUGAAAUUGUUGAAAGGGAAGCGCUUGUGACCAGACUUGGGCUUGGUUGAUCAUCCGGGGUUCUCCCCGGUGCACUCUUCCGGCCUAGGCCAGCAUCAGUUCGCCCUGGGGGAUAAAGGCUUCGGGAACGUGGCUCUCUCCGGGGAGUGUUAU